This 417-nucleotide ribosomal RNA is filed under the name uncultured Glomeromycotina. RNAcentral's name for it is "SSU rRNA". It matches the Rfam family "Eukaryotic small subunit ribosomal RNA", at positions 678 to 1092 of the family's 1831-position model. The record is from RNAcentral. Lineage: Eukaryota; Fungi; Glomeromycota.
CACUGGUGUGAUGGAUUCCUACCUUCUGAAUAACCAGCAUGUCAUUAAUUUGGUGCGUUGGGGAAGCAGGACUGUUACCUUGAAAAAAUUAGAGUGCUUAAAGCAGGCUAGUGCCUGAAUACAUUAGCAUGGAAUAAUGAAAUAGGACGGCAUGGUUCUAUUUUGUUGGUUUCUAGGAUCACCGUAAUGAUUAAUAGGGAUAGUUGGGGGCAUUAGUAUUCAAUUGUCAGAGGUGAAAUUCUUGGAUUUAUUGAGGACUAACUUCUGCGAAAGCAUUUGCCAAGGAUGUUUUCAUUAAUCAAGAACGAAAGUUAGGGGAUCGAAGACGAUCAGAUACCGUCGUAGUCUUAACCAUAAACUAUGCCGACUAGGGAUCGGACGAUGUUAAUUUUUUAAUGACUCGUUCGGCGCCUUACG